RNAcentral lists this ribosomal RNA (315 nucleotides) under uncultured eukaryote. RNAcentral describes it as "partial 18S ribosomal RNA". It matches the Rfam family "Eukaryotic small subunit ribosomal RNA", at positions 1470 to 1796 of the family's 1831-position model. The record is from RNAcentral.
CCCUUAGACGUUCUGGGCCGCACGCGCGCUACACUGACCAGUGCAACAAGCAUCCGUCCUUGGCCGACAUGCUCGGGCAAUCUUUGAACGCUGGUCGUGAUGGGGAUAGACUUUUGCAAUUUUUGGUCUUCAACGAGGAAUUCCUAGUAAACGCAAGUCAUCAACUUGCAUUGAUUACGUCCCUGCCCUUUGUACACACCGCCCGUCGCACCUACCGAUUGAAUGGUCCGGUGAAGCCUCCGGAUUGGCGCGCACCUCGGUGCCGCCGAGAAGUUGGCUAAACCUUACCAUUUAGAGGAAGGUGAAGUCGUAACA